This is a long non-coding RNA of Callorhinus ursinus (northern fur seal), 576 nucleotides long. RefSeq lists it as uncharacterized. Lineage: Eukaryota; Metazoa; Chordata; Mammalia; Carnivora; Otariidae. The record is from RefSeq and is a predicted model, not a curated record.
UACCUGAUCCAGCACACCAUUCCACUUCUGUGUGGUCAGGAAGAGAUAUUUGGAUGGAUGUGGUCAGUGGGCAUCUGGACUGAAAUAGCUGAAGUCAAGGAGCUUGGAGAAUGGAAAUAGGACAAAAGGUUGGGAAACAGACUUUAUGGACUGUGGGUAUAUUUUAGACUCUGGAAACCUGUGGAGCUGGAAAUGCUAUCCAGAGCGAUUUGCAUGAGCAUGUGACCCCACCAGCACAGUCUCAGAGCCUAGAAGACUUUGAUCAUUAAUCCCACUUUUCCACUUUGAAAAUCACCAAAAUUCAAACAGGUACACAGUCAUGCAAAUGUACAGUACUUCCGAAGGAGGACCACCAUCACCUGGCAUUCCUGCCUGUCUCCGGGUUUGCUGUUGUGCAAUCUGAAUGAAGCAACUGAGGGCGAUUUCCAGGACUGGUGAUUAUGAUGAUUAGUUACCAGUGCGCUCUGUGGGCUGCUUCUGAGAGAAGACAGAUUUCCAGCCUGGCCUUGACAUGGGUUGGCCCCUCCCCGACUCUAAUUACCCUUUCCAGUAACAGUAAUGGUACUGAGAACUGAA